UGUAGCCGGGUCGGCAAGUCAGAUGUGAAAUCUGGAGGCUCAACCUCCAAACUGCAUUUGAAACUGCUGAUCUUGAGUAUCGGAGAGGUAAUCGGAAUUCCUUGUGUAGCGGUGAAAUGCGUAGAUAUAAGGAAGAACACCAGUGGCGAAGGCGGAUUACUGGACGACAACUGACGGUGAGGCGCGAAAGCGUGGGGAGCAAACA
RNAcentral lists this ribosomal RNA (205 nucleotides) under uncultured Oscillibacter sp. Its description in RNAcentral is "partial 16S ribosomal RNA". It matches the Rfam family "Bacterial small subunit ribosomal RNA", at positions 570 to 774 of the family's 1533-position model. The record is from RNAcentral. Lineage: Bacteria; Bacillati; Bacillota; Clostridia; Eubacteriales; Oscillospiraceae.